UACGUAGGUGGCAAGCGUUGUCCGGAUUUACUGGGCGUAAAGAGCGCGCAGGCGGUCGUUCAAGUCGCGUGUGAAAGCCCCCGGCUCAACUGGGGAGGGUCACGCGAUACUGAUCGACUCGAAGGCAGGAGAGGGUAGUGGAAUUCCCGGUGUAGUGGUGAAAUGCGUAGAUAUCAGGAGGAACACCAAUUGCGAAGGCAGCUCGCUGGGACGUUACUGACGCUGAGACGCGAAAGCGUGGGGAGCAAACAGG
RNAcentral lists this ribosomal RNA (253 nucleotides) under uncultured bacterium. RNAcentral describes it as "partial 16S ribosomal RNA". It matches the Rfam family "Bacterial small subunit ribosomal RNA", at positions 524 to 776 of the family's 1533-position model. The record is from RNAcentral.